Lactuca sativa (garden lettuce) is the source of this 830-nucleotide long non-coding RNA. RefSeq lists it as uncharacterized. NCBI's taxonomy places the organism in Eukaryota, Viridiplantae, Streptophyta, Magnoliopsida, Asterales, Asteraceae. The record is from RefSeq and is a predicted model, not a curated record.
UAGGUCGUUUUUGGUCAUUAAACUUUUCUGACUGUGCUAUUGUGGUCAUUAUACUUUAUAUAAGCUCUAAAUGGUCAGUGAACUUUAUGUUUUUUUUCGUUAUGGUCACCGUAACCGGUAACAGCCCAAAACUUGAUGAUGUGGUUAAUUUAGUCCCAAAUUGGCAUAACAUGUCAUCAUCCUAGCUGGCAUUACAUGUCAACAUCGAAUUAGGGCGUUCUAUUAUAAAGAUAUGAACAUCGACGCUCAAAUAUCCUCUCAAAUAUACCUCCCCAUGUUUGCAUCUUCUUCUACGGGCUCCAAUCUGGGGGAUUGAUACUCCUCCAAGGAAGGAGGGACGUGUUCUUGUAGGAAGCAAUAAAAAAGACGAACAAGCUAGACCAAUGAGAUUCCAGGUAGGAGAUUUGAUGUUUGCCCUAAUUCUUUGACAUCAGAGCCAAGCUGCAAAAUUUUUGAGUGGGUUGAUCGGGAGUUGUCAGCCUGGUAUCGUUGACUUCUAUAUAAAGUUCAUAGAAAGCUCUUGCUCAAGAGGAAACGAUAAAGAAACAAGAACUAAUGCUUGAAGAAAUGGAGAAAGAGGUCAGAAGAUACAAGUUAAAAUUGCAGAAAUAUAAAAAGAAGACUAAAGAGUUUGAGAUUCAGUUGUUUGUGCAGAAGUCUAGGAUAUGAAAAGUUAGUUGGUAUGUUAUGGGUUUUGUCAUUGUAGGUGUAUUGAUGUUAUGUGUCAAGUAAAAUGUUGAUGUCCUGUGUCAAUUUAAUAGUGUAUGUGUACUAGUUUAGAAAAAGUAUGUAUCUUGAUGUUGUUGUUUGAAUAAAUUUGUUUCAAGUAA